Molecule: ribosomal RNA, 451 nt
Filed under: uncultured bacterium
Lineage: Bacteria
Description: bacterial SSU rRNA
Rfam family: Bacterial small subunit ribosomal RNA
Source: RNAcentral
GUGGGGAAUAUUGGACAAUGGGGGGAACCCUGAUCCAGCCAUGCCGCGUGUGUGAAGAAGGCCUUUUGGUUGUAAAGCACUUUAAGCGAGGAGGAGGCUACCGAGAUUAAUACUCUUGGAUAGUGGACGUUACUCGCAGAAUAAGCACCGGCUAACUCUGUGCCAGCAGCCGCGGUAAUACAGAGGGUGCAAGCGUUAAUCGGAAUUACUGGGCGUAAAGCGCGCGUAGGUGGCCAAUUAAGUCAAAUGUGAAAUCCCCGAGCUUAACUUGGGAAUUGCAUUCGAUACUGGUUGGCUAGAGUAUGGGAGAGGAUGGUAGAAUUCCAGGUGUAGCGGUGAAAUGCGUAGAGAUCUGGAGGAAUACCGAUGGCGAAGGCAGCCAUCUGGCCUAAUACUGACACUGAGGUGCGAAAGCAUGGGGAGCAAACAGGAUUAGAUACCCCUGUAGUCC